GAGUUUGAUCCUGGCUCAGAAUGAACGUUGGCGGCGUGGAUUAGGCAUGCAAGUCGAGCGGGCCAGCAAUGGCCAGUGGCGAAAGGGACAGUAACACGUAGAUCACCUACCCUCAGGGCCGGGAUAGCCACGGGAAACUGUGGAUAAUACCGGAUAAUGUCUUCGGACCAAAGGUGUGAUUCCACCUGAGGAUGGGUCUGCGUCCUAUUAGCUUGUUGGUGAGGUAACGGCUCACCAAGGCGAUGAUGGGUAGUGGGUGUGAGAGCACGACCCGCGUCACUGGGACUGAGAUACUGCCCAGACACCUACGGGUGGCUGCAGUCGAGGAUCUUCGGCAAUGGGCGCAAGCCUGACCGAGCGACGCCGCGUGCGGGAUGGAGGCCUUCGGGUUGUAAACCGCUGUCGGAGGGGAUGAAAUGCAUGGGGGUUCUCCCCCAUGCUUGACAUAUCCUCGGAGGAAGUACGGGCUAAGUUCGUGCCAGCAGCCGCGGUAAGACGAACCGUACAAACGUUAUUCGGAAUCACUGGGCUUAAAGGGUGCGUAGGCGGCGCGGAAAGUUGGGUGUGAAAUCCCUCGGCUCAACCGAGGAACUGCGCCCAAAACUACCGUGCUUGAGGGAGAUAGAGGUGAGCGGAACUUAGGGUGGAGCGGUGAAAUGCGUUGAUAUCCUAAGGAACACCAGUGGCGAAAGCGGCUCACUGGGUCUCUUCUGACGCUGAUGCACGAAAGCUAGGGUAGCGAACGGGAUUAGAUACCCCGGUAGUCCUAGCCGUAAACGAUGAGCACUGGGUUGAAGGGCCCUCCAUAGCCCUUCAGCCGAAGCGAAAGUGUUAA
This 835-nucleotide ribosomal RNA is filed under the name uncultured Planctomycetota bacterium. RNAcentral describes it as "bacterial SSU rRNA". It matches the Rfam family "Bacterial small subunit ribosomal RNA", at positions 9 to 863 of the family's 1533-position model. Lineage: Bacteria; Pseudomonadati; Planctomycetota. The record is from RNAcentral.